Molecule: ribosomal RNA, 480 nt
Filed under: uncultured prokaryote
Description: bacterial SSU rRNA
Rfam family: Bacterial small subunit ribosomal RNA
Source: RNAcentral
AGAGUUUGAUCCUGGCUCAGAACGAACGCUGGCGGCGUGCUUAACACAUGCAAGUCGAACGUGAUCCGGAGCUUGCUCCGGUGAAAGUGGCGCACGGGUGAGUAACGCGUGGAUAAUCUGCCCUGGUAUCUGGGAUAACAUCUCGAAAGGGGUGCUAAUACCGGAUAAGCCUACGGACUCUUCGGAGUCUGCAGGAAAAGGUGGCCUCUAUUUAUAAGCUACCGUAUCAGGAUGAGUCCGCGUACCAUUAGCUAGUUGGUGGGGUAAUGGCCCACCAAGGCUACGAUGGUUAGCUGGUCUGAGAGGAUGAUCAGCCACACUGGAACUGAGACACGGUCCAGACUCCUACGGGAGGCAGCAGUGGGGAAUUUUGCGCAAUGGGGGAAACCCUGACGCAGCAACGCCGCGUGAGUGAUGAAGGCUUUCGGGUCGUAAAGCUCUGUCAGAGGGGAAGAAAUGAGUCUGGCUAAUAUCCAGAUU